AGGACGAACGCUGGCGGCGUGCCUAACACAUGCAAGUCGAACGAGGCCCAUGCAGUGGCAACACUGCGGAAGGCCUAGUGGCGAACGGGUGAGUAACACGUGAGGAACUUGCCCCGGAGACCGGGAUAACUCUCCGAAAAGGAGGGCUAAUACCGGAUGUCCUCACCGAAUCGCAUGGUUUGGUGAGGAAAUGGAUUCCGCUCCGGGAGAGCCUCGCGGCCUAUCAGCUAGUUGGUGGGGUAACGGCCCACCAAGGCAUCGACGGGUAGCUGGUCUGAGAGGACGAUCAGCCACACUGGGACUGAGACACGGCCCAGACUCCUACGGGAGGCAGCAG
Molecule: ribosomal RNA, 337 nt
Filed under: uncultured soil bacterium
Lineage: Bacteria
Description: bacterial SSU rRNA
Rfam family: Bacterial small subunit ribosomal RNA
Source: RNAcentral